This 9886-nucleotide long non-coding RNA is filed under the name Lynx pardinus (Iberian lynx). The record is from RNAcentral. Lineage: Eukaryota; Metazoa; Chordata; Mammalia; Carnivora; Felidae.
GGCCAUUGGAGAGGUGGCUGCCCACCUGGAGCCAGAGCAGGUAGGUCGAUACAGGCCCGCGCAGGGCCCGGAGCCCUGGGUCGUGGGCAGGUGUGCGUGCAUUCUAGGCCUUCCCGGCCCCGGGCCCGCUACCCACCUGGCCGACCAGUCCCGCCUCCUGGUGGGCACGUGACCUGUCCCUUAUUUGACAGUGUCUCUGCCUCUCCCUCGGUACACUGUCUCCAUCUCUCUCUCUCUCUCUCUCUCUCUCGUGUGUGUUACUCUUGGCCUGCUUUGUCAAUUCACCUUCUCCUGUGACUUUUUGCCUCCUAUUUUUCUAUCUCCAGCUUAGUGCCUGUGAUUCUCAUCUCUGGCCCAGCUCUUCUUCCUCGGGCAGACUCUCUCCCUCCCCUUCCUCUGCGUCUAACAAAGUGUGCAGAUCAGUAGAAGAGAUGCCGGGGCGUGGGGGAAUGGGAAGGUUUUCUGGAGUCACUGCUGUGAAUCUGAGGAGUGUUAGUGGUGGGGGUGUGGCUGCCAGCUCAGUUUGGGUGGAGAGGACUCGGCUGCUCGGGUCCCUGUUGGGACGUCUGUUUCUUGGUGACAAGAAGACAACAGUGUCUGCAUGCGAUGACAGGAAUGCAGAUGCGGAUGAAGGGCCUUGCAACCGGUCAUUCGUCUGACAAAUGUGACUUGAGUCCCUCUCACGUGCCAUGGGGCCAGGCGUCAGGGACACAGUGAUGGGUAAGACAGACCUGGCCUUCAGGGAGCUUCCAUUAUGUUAGGGCAAGACAGGUAACACCCAAGCAACCAUAUGGCCAAAUCCAAAUCGUGGCGAUGUCGCCAAGAAAACUAAACAGGAUAAAGUGACAGAGAGCAGCUGGGAUACAGUAGUGGGUGACAGGAGCUAAGAUAGGCAGGGAAGCCCACUGUGGGGAGAUGGCACAUGAGCUGCAUCCGGAACAGGAAGGAGGCAGCCAGGUGCAGGUCUGGGUGAAGAGUGACCAGGUAGAGGAAAGGUCAGGGGCAAGGGGCGAGAGGCAGAGUGAACUUCGGAGGCUAGAGGAACAGGCAGAGGGCGUGGAGAGGCUGGACUGUCAUGACAGGUGGGGACACGGGUCCAAGAUAAGCUUGGGGCCAGACCAUGUGAGGCAUUUUAUGCCAGGACAAAAGGAGUCUCAGCUCAUGAUCAUAAGUGAAAUGGGAAACUAUCAGCAGGUUUUAAGUAAGAAAUAAUUUGAUUCAUCUUCUUACAAAACAUCGUUUGGGCUACCUGAAGGGCCUGAAGAGACCCGGGUGAAGCAAGGAGACCUUUAGGGGGCUCCUCUGCAGGCCAGGUGAGCAGUGAGGGGCUCAGAUCCAGAUGGCAGGAGUAGAGGGGUGAGGGGUCAAUUGAGUUGGGAAUAGAUUCUGAAACAAAACCAAAAAGAUUCAACGACGAACUGGAAGACAGAAAGAGAGGUGUCAGGAAUCAAACCUAGAUUCGAGAAGCCGGGCAGGUGGUAGCUCCAUUUCCUAAGGUUCAGGAGGAGUGGAGUUAAUGUAGGAGAACCAGACGGAACCUUGAAGAACCAGGAGUUCUGUUUUGGACACGUCAGGCAGGUUUGACAUGCCUGUGAGACAUCAGAGUUGGCGGUGGCCACGGAGACUGAUUCCACUGAGUGGGGACUGAGGUCAUGGUGGGACCACAGAGAGGGCUGUGUUGGGGGCGGGGUGGGGGUGAUAAUCCAUACAACUGCUACUGGCAGGGCUCAGAGAUGUCUGGGAGCCUGUGCCACGGGGUUAUGGGGUUGAGGGACCUUCUCUUCCACAGGUGUCCCCGCUCUUUGGGACCAUCUAUGAUGCUGUUGUCCUGCUGGCCCAUGCCCUGAACCGCUCUGAGAGCCAUGGGGCAGGACUCUCGGGGGCCCACUUGGGAGACCAUACAGGGGCUCUGAAUGUGGCUGGCUUUAGCCAGAGGAUCCGGACGGAUGAGAAGGGCAGGAGAUUGGCUCAGUACGUCAUCUUGGACACAGAUGGUCAGGGAAGCCAGCUGGUCCCCACCCACAUUCUGGACACAGGCACGUGGCAAGUGCAGCCCCUGGACAGGGCCAUACACUUUCCAGGAGGGGCCCCUCCAGCACGUGACUCCAGCUGCUGGUUUGACCCCAAUAUGCUAUGCAUGAGAGGUAAUUCAUCAUCCCUCCAUCCAUUCAUCUCUCCAUCCAUCCAAUCACCCAAUGCGUUUUCCUCUUCCUGGAGAGCUCCCCACCUUGCCUGGUUAAAUCUUACCUGUCUUACCAAUCAGGGCUGCCCCUCCACCCCGGCCACCAUGAUCCCCACAGCCCCCGAGUGAAUUGCUUCAUGUUCAUAAGGGUGUGUGUCCCGUGCUGGGAAGAAUCAGUGCCAUCUGUUCCCCAGACUAGAAGGUAGCUCAUGAGAAGAAGCCUUCACCCAAUUGUUUCUCUGCCCCUUUUCCCACAAAUAUUGCUGGAGGACCUCCCACGUGUCAGGCACUACGCUCAGCCCCAGGGAUAUAGGAGUGAAUGAAAUGAUGUCCCUGCCCUCAUUGAGCUGAUGUACUCGAAGACCAACCCCAGGGCCUGCUUUCCAGGGGCUUCUGCCUGGUGACAGAGACAGGGACAGCUGAAAACAAUACAAGACAGUGUGUUCAGAGCCAUGAAGGGGGCAGCCAGGGGCUGAUGGAGCUCAGAGGAGAUCCUUCUCCGUCAGCCCUGGCUCACAGAUUUUACCAUCUAACAGGUUUUUAAUUAAUUCAUUCAACAAAUCAAUCAGCAAACAUUUAUUGAGCAUCCACUGUGUCCCACGCUCAGUGCUGAGAACUGGGGAUACAAUGGCAGAUAAGACUCGUGGUCACUGCCGGCACGUGGGAUGGAGCUCCCUGGGUAAAGGGGGACGGGGUAAGGGCUCUGAGAGGGGACACUAGGGGGUUGUGGGAGCCUGAGCAGCGGCCUCAGGAUGUAUCUUCUCUCGGGGAUCUAAAAGUGACAGUUCACACUCUGGCCUGUGUUGUCAUGAUUAUCACCGAUACAACUGAUCACCACCGUGGAUUGAGAGACCAGACAGCGGGGGCUUUGGGGCAAAUGUACUUAGGGCUGCAGUUCAGUGCUGCCCCUGACUAGGUGUGUGACCUUGGGCAAGUUGCAUACCCUCUCUGGGUCUCCAUUUCUCAUGUAGAAAUAGGAACAAAGACCUGACACCUUCAACUGCUUGUCCUUGCGUGAGGUGGGGGUGGGGCAGACCUCAGGAGCAGGGCUUGUACUUCCAAGGAGAUGGGAAGGGGCUACGCGGUCACGUGCUCUCAGUGAGAAGCACUCCUCAAGUGGCACCUAGGAGCGCUGGGACCGGCUGGAGUUGUCCUGUCCAGGGCUGGCUUCUCUCCUCUGUGGGCCUCAGGGUCUUGUCAGCAAGAGAAUGUGCCAUGUUCUUUGUUUCCUCUGAUUGUUUUUGUCUUGGAAUGUCAGCCUUAGAGAGCCAUUCAUUCACAUCUCCUUUCAGCCUAAGCUUUAUUCCUUGACUCCCUUUGGCAGCAAGAUCCGUCGAAAGGGUGUGGGUGCUAACUGGAUUAAAUGUCCCUUCCCCUCUUCUCUGGAGUCCUCCUCGCUGACUCUCUCCACUACUCUCUUAACACGAGCAGUCCUAUCAAGGCCCCCAGUAGCCUCCAUGUGCUGAGGCCCAGAGCCAGCUGCUAGUCUUGGCCUUGCUCAGCCAAGGGAGCCGAACUCCCAUCCUCCCUGCUGCUCCAUCCCUCUCCAGGGCCCCCUCACUCGUCACCUUCUCAGUCACCUUUUCUGUUAUAGAGUUCUAACCUAUUAACACCGCUCCUGUGGGCUUGGUGCUUUGAGCCGUUUUCUCUCAGCACUUACUCCCACAGUGUCUUAUCCAUUCUCGUGGCCCCCAGAUGGACAUUGUUGUCUCCUAAACUCCAUAUCUGCCCAACCUCCUACUUGACACGUCCAAUAAGAUGCUACUGACACCUAGAUAUCUAGUCGGCAUCUGAAACUUGAUGUUGUCUGAAGCUCAACUCCUGAUCUGUCCCCCAAUCUGCCUCCCAUGAUGUUCUCCGUUGCAGGUCAUGGAACCCCCAACCUCCCACAGGCACAGGAACGCUCUGUCUCCUCACACCCCCCAUCCAGUUGGUCAGCACACCCUGGGGGCGCCAUCUUUAGAAUUUGCCCAGAAGCAGAGCUGUUCACCAGUCACUGCCUCCAUCCUGGGCCAGGCCCUCGUCAUCUCUCACUGGGUCACUGCCUUGCCUCCCCCUCGUCCUCAUGCAACCUGGCCGGUUGGAGGAUCCUUUGGAAACAUAAUCACUCCCCCACCAGGACCUGUAGAGGCUUGGCCUCACCCGGAGCCAAGCCAGAGUCCUGGCCUCUGACUUCACAGCACCCUGUCCCGCUCAGCAUCUUGGUCUGUCUUCCUCCUGCUCUGCUCUGUCCUUCCCUGGAUCGCAGGCCGCUCCUGCUUCAGAACCUUGGCACUCGCUGCCCCCUAGGCCUGGGGCACACUGUGCUUUCUGUCGCACCCUGUGCGUUUGCACCCUUGUCUCCUCCAGAUUAAGACUCAAAGGCCCUUUCGGAGCCUGGGCGAGAGGCAGGAUGAUGCAGUGGUUAGGAGCCCAGAUGCCAGAGCGAAAGUGCCAGGGUUUGAACCCAGGCUCUGCCACUCACAGACAGUUACUUCUCUCUGUUUCCUCCUCUACAAAAUUGUGACCAUGACCAUACCUACUUCCAGGGGUCAUUGUGCAGAAUAAGGUGAAUUGAAAUACAAUAACAUCGUCAGAAUAGGUGCUUAAUGCAAUACAAUGUGCAAUAGUAUAAUAGGGAUUGCAAGGUAUUUGCUGCUAUUAUUAUGACGGACUCAGACUGGAGGGCUUCAGCAGGGGGCAGACAGCAGAGCUCAUCCUCCAGCGGAAGGAAGAAGGGAGAGGAGGCAUGGAAGGCAGAAGGGAUGGCCCCAUUUCUGUGGCAGCAGAGGUCAAUGUCCUCUCUCCAGAUUGGGGCUGGGCAUUCAGCAUCCUUGCCAGCCUAAGCUGAUGCUAGGGUUGCCCAAGCAAAGUAGGGGUGCCCUCCCAACCUUGCCAGUGAACUUUAAUAGCCUCUUUACAUCCAACUCCUGACAUGAGGCCUGGAGGUUUGGAUUUGGUGUCAGGAAGGCUCUCUUAAUGGUCAGAGUGAAGGACAAUGAAACUGGCUGUCCAAACAGAUAGCGAGGGGCCCAUCAGAGGGGAUACGCAAGAAGCAGGACAAUAAUCGACAGGGAUACAAAAUUUUUAUUCAGCACCUGCUGUGUCCAGGCUCUGUGUUAGGUGCCAGGGACAGUGAGAUGAAUAAGACACAGGCCCUGCUAUCCAGCCACUCUGUCUAUUGGGAAGGGACUUGAUAUGCCAUCAGACAAAAGACCAUAGUCUGACCAGGACGGUAAUGAGAUCUGAGCAGGGACCAUGGGGAUCCGGGGACAGGGAGCCCAAGAACCCAGGCUGAAACACUGGGACUCAAUACCUGUGUGUGAUGACCAGUCCACAGAUAGGACUUUCCUAUGUGAGUGUCAUUCUGAGCCUCAUCCCUGGGGUCGGUCUGGAUUGGGGUUUGUGUUUCCAUUUCCCAGAGGAAGGCCUAGGAGGGGGUGCAGGAGCUGGGUGAAGGGGGCUGCCCUCCUUGUGUGGUUGUUACUGUUAGGACUCACGUCCAUCCUGCUCCGCCCGCAGAUGCACAGCUCCCGGGGAGCUUCCUCGCUUUUGUCCUGGCAUGUGUCCUGUUGCUGGCUGGCGGGACCCUCACUUGCCUCAUCAGGUGAGACUCUGUCUGCACCCGAGCCUCCUUCUGCCCCUCUGUGCCCCCCACCCACAGGGCCUCUCUUGUGUGUGCACAGUCCUGGCAAUCUGCAGGAGGCUUUCCCAUCCCAGGACCUCAGGACAGUCCAGCACUCCUGUCCACCUUAGAGCCUCAGUCAGGGCCCUGCUGAGGCUGGGGGGCCUUGAGAAAAGGUCCACUUGAAAGUUGGGGAAGAAGCCUGGGACCUUACGUAAGACUGUCCAUCCCUGAACUUCAGGCUAUGAACAUGCACAGUGAUGGCUUGACCAGGACAACUCCCAGGGCCCUUCAGUUUUGAAAGCAAUUCUUCCUGGGUCUGAAAUCCUCUGUGUUCCCUGAGCCUGCCCCCGGCCCUCACCUCAGGAAGCCUCCGGGCAGUUUGGGAACUCCCAGGCUAGGGACCAGUAGGCUUAUCAGGCCUGAGCCGGGCCAAGGGCCUGGGUAGGGGGCAGUGCUCAGCAGUGACCCCUCGGUGCUGGGACUGCUGGGGAGAAGGGAGAGAAAGAGGGAGAGGGCUCUGGGUCAGCGCAGGCCCAAUAGGCCAGAUCGAGGUGGGAGUGAUACGUGUGCCCUCCCUCUGCCCUGCACUUUCUCUUGCCUCCAGAUUGGGCAUCCAACAGCUACAGCUGGUGCGGGGCCCCCACCGGAUCCUGCUGACAGCCCAGGAGCUCACCUUCAUCCAUCGGCCGCCAAGCAGACGGGUAGGGGGACAGGCACUGGGCUGGGUGGGCAAGCCGCUGACUGAGGCCUGGUCCAGGCUCUUGACCGCACCUGCCCCCUCCAGAGGCUGCACGUGGACAACGUGAGUGAAUCAAGAAGUGUGGCAGAUGGCGGGAGCCUGAGGUCAGUGGCCCAGGGGUCAGCAAGGAGCCUGCAGGCCCCCCAGGAGCCCACCAAUGUGGCCCUGUACCAGGUGAGGGCCUCUGCCACCACAGGUUUGGGCCUGAGAAGCUGCAGUGAGUUUGGGAGAAGCUGAGGGAGCCCACAGCCUCUUGGGCUUCUGUAUGCCCUACUCCUGUUACAGAAUGGGAAACCGAGGCUUGAAGAGGGCCAGUGACUUUCCUCGGUCCCACAGCAAAUCAGUGGCAUGGUAGGAGUGGAGAAGGACUCUCAAUUCCCAGCUCAGCAUGGUUUGUGAUCUGACCUUGGGACAGCAAGUUGCUGGCUACUUGGGCCUGGGCUCUCCCAGCGUGGGUCCACCCAGGGUUUCUCUCAGCACGGGGGCCAGUCUAGGUCACCCUCCUGCCUGUUUCGGCAAGGGACAGUGAGAUCCCAGGUCCCUGAGGCCCAGAGGUGAGGGAAGCACACAGCCCCAGACCGUCAGCCGAUAGGGAGGCCACAAAGUCAGAGAUUAGACCGGCAGGAUUCUAAAGUUGUUGAGGACACUGUGGCUUUUCAGGUGCUGUGUUCUCCAACUCGACAAUUCACUGAGGUUCCGAUUCUCAAAUUCUGUGACUCACAGCUGAUGAGCCAGGCUAAUUGUACAGGAAGCGACAUGAGGCUUAUGAUCCUUCUUUUCCACUUCCUCCCCAGGGGAAUCCCAUCUUUUCUUCUUUUAUGCUGAAAGGAGGCUUUAAUGCUGUACAAAGCAUGUUCUGUCUGCUUCUCUAAGUUUGCUGACAGGCUGUGGGUGAGGCUGACAAGGCAAAAAUCCAUCCGUGACAGGGGAGAGAGGGCUAAGAUUGCAGCUAGCUCUGGGCCAGGCCGGGGCGAGGACCGAGCCCCAGCCCGAGGCUUCCUUCUCUCCCGCCGUCCCCUCUCCUACAGUCUCUGGGUCACAGAGCCCCCGUCACUUCACAGGCUUUGGGGUGUUGUGGGUGCCUGAGGCCUGCAGAGUAAAGUUGACCUUGACACUGGGAGCAUGUUGACAUGCUUUAUAUGCAACAAGUGUUAGCUCUUGCAGGGCGAGUGGGGGUAUCAUCUUCCCUUUACAGAACUGGAACAAGAGGCUGAGAGAACCAAAGUCACUUGUUCAAGCUCACAGACGGAGCUAGACAGUGGCGGGGUUAGGACUGAACUCGGGUCUGUCAGCCAAAGCCCCUGGCUUUGCCCCACCAAAGUGAAAGUCUAACUUCGGUUUCUGCCGGCCAGGCCCUGCCUGGCUUGCAGCACACAGAAAAGAUACAUUUAUGGGGCCGGGGCUGAGAGGCACAGAGGGAUUAACCCAAGGUCGCACAGCAGGAGACCAGCAGCGGCAAACUUUCUCGUUCUUCCUCCAACAGGGGGAGUGGGUGUGGCUGAAGAGGUUUGAAGCAGGCACAGCCCCUGAGCUUCGGCCCAGCUGCCUCAGCCUCCUGAGAAAGGUAGGGCCAAGGAGGGGAGGGGACCCCUACUGGUAUGGAGUGGUCCCCGCUCAACGUGGAAGCUUCUAGCCUCAGAAGGACUCCUUUCUAUCAUCACAAUUGCUGCCCCAUGGCCGACACCUCAGCCACAGUUACACACUCAUCUUCACUCACGAGCAUUCCUCCAGUCACGUCACCACCUCAACGUGACCAUCACCACGACCCCCAGGGGCACAGUCCCUUCCAUCAGUAUCAGCAACACCCUCGAAGGACCUCAUCCUGUACCCACCAUCCCUCCACCCAUCCACCCAUUUAGUCACUGUGUUUUGAGCACCACCUAUGAGCCAGGCCAUGUUCUGGGUUUGGGGGUACAGCUGUGGAGAAGAGGGACAGGGUUCCUUCCCUCAAGGAGCUUCCGGUCACUUGUCAUCACUAACCACAUAAGCCCCUUCACCCCCGAGGUUGUCAGUAUCCUGAGAAGCACUGUGGCUGGAGCACGGAGCACAGGAUUGGAAUCAGGAAGGUCCCAGGUAGAAUUCUGCCUCCAUGAAACGCUUAGCUUUCCUGUAAAAUGGAGCUAAUGAAAUCUAUCCUCUGGGGAAUUAGGAAGAUUGGGGAGAACAUAUGAAAUAACCUAGAAUUGUCUCUGGCCAGAAGUGUGCCUUUGAUAAAUGCUAGCAUCACUGCUUGGGUUCAAGCUCUCUGACCUGCUGGGCAGCCAUGACAGAGGCUAUUUUCUGGUUAAGCCUGGUCCCUUCUGCUCUUCUUCCUCUCCUUAUCAGUCUCUGAGUCUUAGGGGAGAAACUUCACAGUUUUCAGGUCCAUGGUUCCACUUAGGUUGGGAAACAGGCCUAGAUCCCUACACUGUGGAGUUCGCUACAGCUUAUUCAUUUAUUCUCCCAUGACACUUCCAUUCACUUGUUCACCCACUCAUCCAUCCAUUCAUCCAUCCAUCAUCCAUCCAUCCACCCAACAUUUCUGGUGCCUCUCUGUGCUCUUCCCUGUACUGGGUGCUAAAUACUGGAGACCCAGAUGUGGAUUGUACCUGGUUCAGCCUUCGAUGUGCCCCUGGGGGCUGCUAAGAUGCCUAUUGCCCCAACAGAUGCGGGAGAUGCGGCAUGAGAACGUUGCUGCCUGCCUGGGCUUCUUUGUGGCCCCUGGGGUCAGUGCUCUAGUGCUGGAGCACUGUUCCCGGGGCAGCCUGGAGGAUCUGCUGCGGAAUGAAGCUCUGCGGCUGGACUGGACUUUCAAGGCCUCUCUGCUGCUGGAUUUGAUCCGUGUGAGAACCCUCCCUGGGCCUAGAGCUAUGGGGGCCAUGGGGAGGGCAGGGAGAAAAGAGACGCUCAGAUUUCCAAGACCUGGUCUCCUACUUUGUCUAAGAAAAAUCUGAACAGUAUGGGAGAAGGUGAGAGGAGGCAGGAAGUGUUUCUGGGGUCUGUGAGAUGCUGAGAGGACUAGGGGCCCCUUUGAUUCAUCACAUAAUGGGCUACCAUUACGUCCUUUCCAGGGCAUGCGGUAUCUGCACCAUCGACAUUUCCCUCACGGACGCCUCAAGUCCCGAAACUGUGUGGUGGAUGGGCGCUUUGUUCUCAAGGUCACUGACCAUGGUUAUGCAGAGCUCCUGGACGUUCAGCGGGCUCCCCGCCCCCGGCCAGCCCCAGAAGGUCAGCUCAGGGAUGGGCAGGCGCUGCCAGUGGGUUUUGAGGCCUCUAUUUAAAUUGGAUGCUUGUGAGGCAGGGGGACAGGGGAGAUGUCCAAUCUUUUAGCACUUCCUGUGGUAUGACCUUGAGCUGCCUCAGGCCCCCUACCUAUGAA